AAUUUUAUCUUUUCAGGGAGGGUAUUACCCAUAUCCACAGUAUCCACCAGCAUAUCCAUAUCCAUAUCCAUAUCCAUAUGAAGGAAAGUAAUAAUCACAGGACAGAUGACAGAGGCUUGGUGAGAAGUCUUCUUUGCUCUCUCCUCAUGACGAUUCUUCUUACUCAAAAAUCCUUUGACAUAUCUAGCAACGUAUUAUCAGCCUGCUUACAAUAAAUACAUCCAACGUGCUUCAGAAAGCAUAUUUUAUCAAACAAUUCAAAAAGUAAAGCAUUAUUUGUAUUCUCUCAGGCAUUAGGUUGGAAUUU
Molecule: long non-coding RNA, 307 nt
Organism: Myotis davidii
Lineage: Eukaryota; Metazoa; Chordata; Mammalia; Chiroptera; Vespertilionidae
Exons: 2
Source: RefSeq, a predicted model, not a curated record